This 600-nucleotide ribosomal RNA is filed under the name Triticum aestivum (bread wheat). Its description in RNAcentral is "partial small subunit ribosomal RNA". Lineage: Eukaryota; Viridiplantae; Streptophyta; Magnoliopsida; Poales; Poaceae. The record is from RNAcentral.
UGCAAAUGUUUCAUUCUCAACAAAAGAGAACGGUUAGGAAAAUUUCAAUCCAAAACAAUUGAGGGUAUAUUUGUUGGUUAUGGAUCAAACUCUCACGCCUAUAGAGUCUACAACAAAUCCAAUGGAUGUGUUGUAGAAACUUGUGACAUGGUGUUUGAUGAAUUUAAUGGCUCCCAUGGGGAGCAAGUUGAUCUAAGUGAUGUAGGUGAAGAAGAUUCUUCUCAAGACAUUUUGAAGAUGGGUGUUGGUGCACUUCUUCCUAUGGAACAAGAACCUCAUGAUGAUGACGAAGAAGAUGGAGAUCUCACGCAUCAUCAAACUACUUCAACAUCCAUACCAACACAAGUUCCUAUUGUUCAACCUAUACCCUUAGCUCAUGUUGAUGAGGCUGAUCAAGUCUCACUCAAUGAUAACCAUCAAGAACAAGAUCAUCAUCAAGAGCAAGAACAAGAAAGUCCAAUCAUGGAUGACGAACCUCAACAACUGCAACAUGAACAAGAAGACCUUCCUCCACAUGUGAAUGAUCCAUAUGUUGAAGAUGUGGAUGAUGGACAUGAAGUUGAACCUCGUGAAACCCUCACCUCCAUCAUGCCUCGAGUG